AAAUUGAAGAGUUUGAUCAUGGCUCAGAUUGAACGCUGGCGGCAGGCCUAACACAUGCAAGUCGAGCGGUAGCACAGAGAGCUUGCUCUCGGGUGACGAGCGGCGGACGGGUGAGUAAUGUCUGGGAAACUGCCUGAUGGAGGGGAUAACUACUGGAAACGGUAGCUAAUACCGCAUAAUGUCGCAAGACCAAAGUGGGGGACCUUCGGGCCUCAUGCCAUCAGAUGUGCCCAGAUGGGAUUAGCUAGUAGGUGGGGUAACGGCUCACCUAGGCGACGAUCCCUAGCUGGUCUGAGAGGAUGACCAGCCACACUGGAACUGAGACACGGUCCAGACUCCUACGGGAGGCAGCAGUGGGGAAUAUUGCACAAUGGGCGCAAGCCUGAUGCAGCCAUGCCGCGUGUGUGAAGAAGGCCUUCGGGUUGUAAAGCACUUUCAGCGGGGAGGAAGGCGUUAAGGUUAAUAACCUUGGCGAUUGACGUUACCCGCAGAAGAAGCACCGGCUAACUCCGUGCCAGCAGCCGCGGUAAUACGGAGGGUGCAAGCGUUAAUCGGAAUUACUGGGCGUAAAGCGCACGCAGGCGGUCUGUCAAGUCGGAUGUGAAAUCCCCGGGCUCAACCUGGGAACUGCAUUCGAAACUGGCAGGCUAGAGUCUUGUAGAGGGGGUAGAAUUCCAGGUGUAGCGGUGAAAUGCGUAGAGAUCUGGAGGAAUACCGGUGGCGAAGGCGGCCCCUGGACAAAGACUGACGCUCAGGUGCGAAAGCGUGGGGAGCAAACAGGAUUAGAUACCCUGGUAGUCCACGCCGUAAACGAUGUCGAUUUGGAGGUUGUGCCCUUGAGGCGUGGCUUCCGGAGCUAACGCGUUAAAUCGACCGCCUGGGGAGUACGGCCGCAAGGUUAAAACUCAAAUGAAUUGACGGGGGCCCGCACAAGCGGUGGAGCAUGUGGUUUAAUUCGAUGCAACGCGAAGAACCUUACCUGGUCUUGACAUCCACAGAACUUUCCAGAGAUGGAUUGGUGCCUUCGGGAACUGUGAGACAGGUGCUGCAUGGCUGUCGUCAGCUCGUGUUGUGAAAUGUUGGGUUAAGUCCCGCAACGAGCGCAACCCUUAUCCUUUGUUGCCAGCGGUCCGGCCGGGAACUCAAAGGAGACUGCCAGUGAUAAACUGGAGGAAGGUGGGGAUGACGUCAAGUCAUCAUGGCCCUUACGACCAGGGCUACACACGUGCUACAAUGGCAUAUACAAAGAGAAGCGACCUCGCGAGAGCAAGCGGACCUCAUAAAGUAUGUCGUAGUCCGGAUUGGAGUCUGCAACUCGACUCCAUGAAGUCGGAAUCGCUAGUAAUCGUAGAUCAGAAUGCUACGGUGAAUACGUUCCCGGGCCUUGUACACACCGCCCGUCACACCAUGGGAGUGGGUUGCAAAAGAAGUAGGUAGCUUAACCUUCGGGAGGGCGCUUACCACUUUGUGAUUCAUGACUGGGGUGAAGUCGUAACAAGGUAACCGUAGGGGAACCUGCGGUUGGAUCACCUCCUUACCUUAAAGAA
Molecule: ribosomal RNA, 1547 nt
Filed under: Klebsiella pneumoniae
Lineage: Bacteria; Pseudomonadati; Pseudomonadota; Gammaproteobacteria; Enterobacterales; Enterobacteriaceae
Description: bacterial SSU rRNA
Rfam family: Bacterial small subunit ribosomal RNA
Source: RNAcentral